UUUCUUAUUCUGUAAUAUAGUGUGCGUAGUGGCGUUGUCUGCAAGACAUAUAUCUCCAACAUUCAUUGCAAAUCGAAUCAAGAGAGUAUCUAUGUUAUUCAAUGAAAAUAAGAAAUAUAUAAUCAGAUUAAUAAAAUAUCCCAUAUAUAACGAAUCAUAAGAAAACAGUUAAACAUGAUAAAAACAUAAUAAUUAAAAUUUUAUUAAUGCUUAAAAUAAAGUCCAAUAACAUCAAAGCAUCAUCUAAAAAUUUUAUAUUUGGACACUCUCAUCA
This 274-nucleotide long non-coding RNA is filed under the name Panax ginseng (ginseng). RNAcentral's name for it is "long non-coding RNA (PGIN_LNC016162)". The record is from RNAcentral. Lineage: Eukaryota; Viridiplantae; Streptophyta; Magnoliopsida; Apiales; Araliaceae.